AGGACGAACGCUGGCGGCGUGCCUAAUACAUGCAAGUCGAGCGGACAGAUGGGAGCUUGCUCCCUGAUGUUAGCGGCGGACGGGUGAGUAACACGUGGGUAACCUGCCUGUAAGACUGGGAUAACUCCGGGAAACCGGGGCUAAUACCGGAUGGUUGUCUGAACCGCAUGGUUCAGACAUAAAAGGUGGCUUCGGCUACCACUUACAGAUGGACCCGCGGCGCAUUAGCUAGUUGGUGAGGUAACGGCUCACCAAGGCGACGAUGCGUAGCCGACCUGAGAGGGUGAUCGGCCACACUGGGACUGAGACACGGCCCAGACUCCUACGGGAGGCAGCAGUAGGGAAUCUUCCGCAAUGGACGAAAGUCUGACGGAGCAACGCCGCGUGAGUGAUGAAGGUUUUCGGAUCGUAAAGCUCUGUUGUUAGGGAAGAACAAGUGCCGUUCAAAUAGGGCGGCACCUUGACGGUACCUAACCAGAAAGCCACGGCUAACUACGUGCCAGCAGCCGCGGUAAUACGUAGGUGGCAAGCGUUGUCCGGAAUUAUUGGGCGUAAAGGGCUCGCAGGCGGUUUCUUAAGUCUGAUGUGAAAGCCCCCGGCUCAACCGGGGAGGGUCAUUGGAAACUGGGGAACUUGAGUGCAGAAGAGGAGAGUGGAAUUCCACGUGUAGCGGUGAAAUGCGUAGAGAUGUGGAGGAACACCAGUGGCGAAGGCGACUCUCUGGUCUGUAACUGACGCUGAGGAGCGAAAGCGUGGGGAGCGAACAGGAUUAGAUACCCUGGUAGUCCACGCCGUAAACGAUGAGUGCUAAGUGUUAGGGGGUUUCCGCCCCUUA
Molecule: ribosomal RNA, 835 nt
Filed under: Bacillus subtilis
Lineage: Bacteria; Bacillati; Bacillota; Bacilli; Caryophanales; Bacillaceae
Description: bacterial SSU rRNA
Rfam family: Bacterial small subunit ribosomal RNA
Source: RNAcentral